GAGAAUCCAGACAAGCCGGUAUUCGGAAAUCCGACGUAUGACGGCGUGAUAGCUGGGAGAGUGUCGGGUCGGAAGUGGAAGCAGCCAAGGAAGCAGAGGGCGUCGGCGAAGCUAGUGAGCAGGAAGGGCACUACGUUCGAGCAGAGGGAGCAGCAGAAGGAGAUAAAGAGAGCUUACAGAGAGAGAAUGAAUGAGUUGAAGGAUGAGAUAAAGAGGAAUAAGGAGCAGAAGAGGAAGAAGAGGGAGGAGAGGGAGAAGAAGAACCAGGAAAAUAUAUUGAGGUCUGGGACUAAGUUGCAGAAGAUUACGAAUCCAAAGACAUUGAAGAAGAUUGCCAAGUCUAAGGAUAGGAAGUUGCUCAAGGUUGUUCCUGAUGAUGUAUUCGAUAAGAACAAGAAAUAGCUUUACUGCUUUGGCUUUUUUAUUUU
Molecule: unclassified non-coding RNA, 428 nt
Filed under: Hevea brasiliensis (rubber tree)
Lineage: Eukaryota; Viridiplantae; Streptophyta; Magnoliopsida; Malpighiales; Euphorbiaceae
Source: RNAcentral